CUCAAUCCUGGCUGCAUAUUGGAAUCACCUGCAGAGGCUUUAGAACCUGUUGGAUCCCGCCUCCAGAGAUUCUGACUUGACUUGAUUAGCUGAAGGCCCAGGCACUGGGAGUUUUAUAAAGCUCCCCAGGUGACUGUAUUGUAAGUUGCUAGGGGCUGACGUUUAAAGGCCUAACAUGUGGUGGGGGUUGGGGGGUGGCGGGAGGAAGGUGACGAGAGAAAGCGCUUGCUGUUAAAUGAAUCGGUGAAUCUCUAACUGAUGGAAUAAAGGUAGGGGAAAUAAUUUUGAGUGUAGGAAACAUAUGAUAGGGGUCAAUGAAAGAAGAAACUUCUUUCCAGAACUGCCCAUCUCCGUCCUCCCUCUGCACAGCUGGGCCUGAGCUGCACCCUUAAACCAUCUGUGCUUGGUGGCCUGGAAUCUAGAAAGCGCGGUGCCUACCUGCAAUGGAGGUUUGGUGUUAAGGACGAGAUUUAUAUGACAAAGAUAUUUCUGGCAAGACGUGGAGAGAAAGAGUCCCUUCAAUGAAAAAAUGCAAGACUGUUCUGACUGCUUUUUCAGAUCUUCAUUGCAGCUGGUGAUUGCUGAAAAUGAUGAUCUCAGAGUCGCCUGUUCCUGCCAGAGAGCCUGCACACAGAGAGAUGCCUUUGUGAAGCCAGCCAUAGAAACCUGCAUAAAAUUGGCCUUCUUUCCUUAAUAGAACCACAUGAACAAAGAUGAGUUUGUUGCUGACUCAGAGCUGAAAGCUUUGUUUUGUAAAGCUCUCUGAAUGUAUUGCACUCUGGCAAAGGAGAAGGGCUCCUUCUUCUAAAAAAAAAAAAUAGAGGAAGAACAGUAAGCGGAAAUCAGACAACAAAUCAAAGCGCACACCCUUCGGGUAGAUAUUUGUGACUAAAGUGGCCCGAAACAUUUUUUUUUUUUUUUUUUUUUUUUUGGUGAAUACUGGUCACAUUUCACAAGAUGAAUAAAAUGAAAGGAAAGGGAACUCUAAUUAAUGGGGUGCCUUUUGAUUUGCAGAGCAAAACUGCCACAGCAGAUGUACCAGCAAAGAGGAUUAGAUUGUCCCUUCUAUGAGGCACUGAAAUUUUCUUUUUUCCCCUGUAGUAACCCCAUUGAAGAGAGGCUGUCUUCAGUGUCUAAGAUUCAGCACUGCAAAGAAACUGUUGUGCUUAAGCACAAUGGGCCGCUCUCACAAGGCCAGACAGAAUAUGUGAGGAGAGAACUAAUAUCCCAUUAAAUCUGGGCAAGACAGUUUUAAUUUUACUAUUUUUAAAAGGCUAAAUUAAAAGAGAAAUUUG
Molecule: long non-coding RNA, 1295 nt
Filed under: Homo sapiens (human)
Lineage: Eukaryota; Metazoa; Chordata; Mammalia; Primates; Hominidae
Description: HSALNT0128196
Source: RNAcentral